UAGUAAUCGCGGAUCAGAAUGCCGCGGUGAAUACGUUCCCGGGUCUUGUACACACCGCCCGUCACACCAUGGGAGUCGGAAAUGCCCGAAGUCUGUGACCCAACCAUUAAGGAGGGAGCAGCCGAAGGCAGGUCGGAUGACUGGGGUGAAGUCGUAACAAGGUACC
This 166-nucleotide ribosomal RNA is filed under the name uncultured bacterium. RNAcentral's name for it is "partial 16S ribosomal RNA". It matches the Rfam family "Bacterial small subunit ribosomal RNA", at positions 1336 to 1500 of the family's 1533-position model. The record is from RNAcentral.